UACGUAGGGGGCUAGCGUUGUCCGGAAUCAUUGGGCGUAAGGAGCGUGUAGGCGGCCCGGUAAGUCCGCUGUAAAAGUCAAAGGCUCAACCUUUGAAUGUCAGUGGAUACUGCCGGGCUAGAGUCCGGAAGAGGCGAGUGGAACUCCUGGUGUAGCGGUGAAUGCGCAGAUAUCAGGAAGAACACCAACGGCGAAGGCAGCUCGCUGGGACGGUACUGACGCUGAGACGCGAAAGCGUGGGGAGCGAACAGG
RNAcentral lists this ribosomal RNA (252 nucleotides) under uncultured bacterium. RNAcentral describes it as "partial 16S ribosomal RNA". It matches the Rfam family "Bacterial small subunit ribosomal RNA", at positions 524 to 776 of the family's 1533-position model. The record is from RNAcentral.